Molecule: non-coding RNA, 124 nt
Organism: Streptomyces sp. WAC00263
Lineage: Bacteria; Bacillati; Actinomycetota; Actinomycetes; Kitasatosporales; Streptomycetaceae
Source: Rfam
CGAACCAAGUAGAAGCUCCCGCUUCUCACCUGUAGCGACGCAACAAGCAGUUGGCAGGUUAAUCAUGUUACACAAUUAAUGUGUGAAGAAGAGCGGGUAGUGAUACUCGCUCUUCUUUUUUGCU